This 486-nucleotide ribosomal RNA is filed under the name uncultured bacterium. Its description in RNAcentral is "partial 16S ribosomal RNA". It matches the Rfam family "Bacterial small subunit ribosomal RNA", at positions 899 to 1397 of the family's 1533-position model. The record is from RNAcentral.
ACUCAAAUGAAUAGACGGGGACCCGCACAAGCGGUGGAGCAUGUGGUUUAAUUCGACGAUAAGCGAGGAACCUUACCAAGGCUUGACAUGUAGCUGCAUCUUCCGGAAACGGAAGCGCCUUCGAGGGUGCUACACAGGUGCUGCACGGUUGUCGUCAGCUCGUGCCGUGAGGUGUUCACUUAAGUGUGAAAACGAGCGCAACCCCUAUUGUAAGUUACAAGUGUCUUACGAAACUGCCAGCGUUUAAGCUGGAGGAAGGUGGGGAUGACGUCAAAUCAGCGUGGCUCUUACGCCUUGGGCGACACACGUGCUACAAUGGAUAGAUACAAAGGGACGCCAAAGCGCAAGCUGGAGCAAAUCCUAUCAAAGCUAUCCCCAGUUCGGAUUGAGGGCUGCAACUCGCCCUCAUGAAGCCGGAAUCGCUAGUAACCGUAGAUCAGCCUCGCUACGGUGAAUACGUUCUCGGGUUUUGUACACACCGCCCGU